AAGUCGUAACAAGGUUUCCGUAGGUGAACCUGCGGAAGGAUCAUUCAUAAUUGAGUGUUUUAUGGCACUCUUUAAAAAAAUCCAUAUCCACCUUGUGUGCAACGUUUUUGAACUCUCUGGCAUUAAAAAGCCAAGAGGGUUUGAUUAACUUAACACCUUUAAAGCAGUUUGUCCGAAUAUCUAUUUCUGAAUAAACAUAAUUCAAAAAUACAACUUUCAACAACGGAUCUCUUGGCUCUC
Molecule: unclassified non-coding RNA, 240 nt
Filed under: Mortierella sp.
Lineage: Eukaryota; Fungi; Mortierellomycota; Mortierellomycetes; Mortierellales; Mortierellaceae
Description: partial internal transcribed spacer region
Rfam family: Eukaryotic small subunit ribosomal RNA (bases 1-46)
Source: RNAcentral